This is a long non-coding RNA of Astyanax mexicanus (Mexican tetra), 895 nucleotides long. RefSeq lists it as uncharacterized. NCBI's taxonomy places the organism in Eukaryota, Metazoa, Chordata, Actinopteri, Characiformes, Acestrorhamphidae. The record is from RefSeq and is a predicted model, not a curated record. The transcript is spliced from 2 exons.
UCCACCAGCCUUACACACUGCUUUUGGAUAACUUUAUGCUGCUUUACUCCAGGUGCAAAAAUUCAACCUGUUCAGUUUGGUGGUUUGAUGGCUUGUGAUCAUCCAUCUUCCUCUUGAUUAUAUUCCAGAGAUUUUCAAUUUGGUAAAAUCAAAGAAACUCAUCAUUUUUAAGUGGACUCUUAUUUUAUUCCAGAGCUGUAUAUCGUGAUAUGUGUAUAUGAUUUUUGCCAUAUUGUCCAGCCCUAAAAAUUACUUUACUUGGGUUCACACUGUCUGUAAUCAAAUAAAAUAAUUUAUUAUAUUCUGAUUUGGGGUUGUACAGAAAUACACACACACAUUACCUCCUCUAUCAGAUUUAAAACAGAAGCACUUUUUCAGCAUCAGGACUCCACAGGAAAACGACCUGCUUGCGUAAUAAUGUUCAGCUGUGUUUUAAAAAAAAAAAAAAAUCAUAUUCUCAUCUUCUUGGUCGUGAGCCAGUCGGCUUUUAUUAAAAUGGAAUAUAUUUUUGAAAGAACAUACUGUAUGUGUAUUCGGGGGGUGUGGUGGGGGGGAGGGGGAGGGACUACCGUGUAAAAUCCACUUACGUAAGCAGAGGAAGGAAUGUAUUUAAGUCAUAAAGAGGAUUACUAAAACGAAACGGUCAACCUUUUAUGAAAGAAACAGCGACCCCAGCGCUGCGGUCAGCGUGUUCUACGCCAGUAUAAAUGUGUAUAAUAGCGAGUAUGUGUAUAUAUUGUAUGUCAGAAAGAUUUACUGGAAUAGAUAACUUGCCGUUUCAGAACUACAGUAUUAUUUUCUCAGAGAUUUAUUUAGUUACUGUUGUGUCAGCAAUCAUGUCCCAUACUGAGUCAAAGAUUUAUUCAAUAAACUAACAUUAAUAUUAAUAUUAAAA